UCCGUGUUAACCACGGCAGUCUCGUGUGAAAAGUAACACACGAUAAGGGUUGCGCUCGUUACCCCACUGAAGGGAACAUUUCACAACACGAGCUGACGGCAACCAUGCAGCACCUGUCCAACGAUCUCGAAGCUCCGAGCGUUUCUGCUCGGAUACAGUUGGAUUUCUAACCUAGGUAAGGUUCCUCGUUUAGCAUCGAAUUAAGCCACACGCUCCACCGCUUGUGCGGGCCCCCGUCUAUUCCUUUGAGUUUUAGUCUUGCGACCGUACUACCCAGGCGGCAAACUUAACGCGUUAGCUUCGACACUGAGAGAGUCGAUACUCCCAAUGCCUAGUUUGCAUCGUUUACGGCAUGGAUUAC
Molecule: unclassified non-coding RNA, 361 nt
Filed under: uncultured bacterium
Lineage: Bacteria
Description: contains 16S-23S intergenic spacer region
Source: RNAcentral